ACAUCCUGGGGCUGAAGUAGGUCCCAAGGGUAUGGCUGUUCGCCAUUUAAAGUGGUACGCGAGCUGGGUUUAGAACGUCGUGAGACAGUUCGGUCCCUAUCUGCCGUGGGCGCUGGAGAAUUGAGGGGGGCUGCUCCUAGUACGAGAGGACCGGAGUGGACGCAUCACUGGUGUUCGGGUUGUCAUGCCAAUGGCACUGCCCGGUAGCUAAAUGCGGAAGAGAUAAGUGCUGAAAGCAUCUAAGCACG
Molecule: ribosomal RNA, 248 nt
Filed under: Escherichia coli
Lineage: Bacteria; Pseudomonadati; Pseudomonadota; Gammaproteobacteria; Enterobacterales; Enterobacteriaceae
Description: partial 23S ribosomal RNA
Rfam family: Bacterial large subunit ribosomal RNA
Source: RNAcentral